Pelobates cultripes (western spadefoot toad) is the source of this 373-nucleotide non-coding RNA. The record is from the annotation of a GenBank genome assembly. Lineage: Eukaryota; Metazoa; Chordata; Amphibia; Anura; Pelobatidae.
AAUAAUUAAAAUAAGAUAGAGAUGAACUAAAAUGAACUAACUAAUACAUUAGAACGAUCUCCUGCUAAUACAUUGAAUAAAUAGCAAACAAAAUAAAUAUAUAUACACAUACAAUAGUAGAAUAAAAUCUACUAAUACAUUGGAAGAAAAUAGAAUGUGAAGUGUCUGAUCAUUGUAGAAGAUCGACUGGUAGUCAUGUUCACAAUUGUAACACAUUAAUCAAAUAGCAAGCAAAAAUGUACUUGCAUAAAAGUCCAUAUGAAAAAUGGAAAAAAUCAACCCACAUAAUUCCAUACAAAAAAGUGUAUAUAGAACCUAGGGACCGAUAUCUAUAUGACCAUAUGUGUAAGAUAGCAAAAAGGGAAAAUAAGGG